GUUGAGAGCUCAGAAGCAAAAAGGGUACCACUGCAAAAAGGGAGUAAAUUAGAUCUUGCCCAAGGGGACUUGGAAGUCGGAGGGCAUCAAAGAGAAUAGAUGCUCGAAGCUCGAAAAUAAGAUAAACCUUUUGAGCCAUCUCGACUAUCGCUGUGCCCCCAGAUUUGUUGAAAAGAAGUCGGGUAGUAAGAAGUUGGAU
Non-coding RNA from Caenorhabditis elegans, 199 nucleotides. Lineage: Eukaryota; Metazoa; Nematoda; Chromadorea; Rhabditida; Rhabditidae. The record is from Ensembl.